This 73-nucleotide transfer RNA is filed under the name Candidatus Omnitrophica bacterium CG12_big_fil_rev_8_21_14_0_65_50_5. RNAcentral's name for it is "tRNA-Thr". It matches the Rfam family "tRNA". From Rfam's summary of the family: Transfer RNA (tRNA) molecules are approximately 80 nucleotides in length. Lineage: Bacteria; Pseudomonadati; Candidatus Omnitrophota. The record is from RNAcentral.
GCUGGCGUAGCUCAGUUGGUAGAGCGGCGCAUUCGUAAUGCGCGGGCCGGGGGUUCGAUUCCUCUCGCCAGCU